CAGAUUGAACGCUGGCGGCAUGCUUUACACAUGCAAGUCGAACGGCAGCACGGGGGCAACCCUGGUGGCGAGUGGCGAACGGGUGAGUAAUAUAUCGGAACAUGUCCGGAAGUGGGGGAUAGCUCGGCGAAAGCCGGAUUAAUACCGUAUAUGCCCUGAGGGGGAAAGGAGGGGAUCCGCAAGGACCUUUCGCUUUCGGAGUGGCCGAUAUCGGAUUAUCUAGUUGGUGGGGUAAAGGCUUACCAAGGCGACGAUCCGUAGCUGGUCUGAGAGGACGACCAGCCACACUGGAACUGAGAUACGGUCCAGACUCCUACGGGAGGCAGCAGUGGGGAAUUUUGGACAAUGGGGGAAACCCUGAUCCAGCCAUGCCGCGUGAGUGAAGAAGGCCUUCGGGAUGUAAAGCUCUUUCAGACAGAAGGAAACGGUUACGAUUAAUACUCGUGACUAAUGACGGUACUGUCAGAAGAAGCACCGGCUAACUACGUGCCAGCAGUCGCGGUAAUACGUAGGGUGCGAGCGUUAAUCGGAAUUACUGGGCGUAAAGCGUGCCCAGGCGGUUUUGUAAGACAGACGUGAAAUCCCCGGGCUUAACCUGGGAACUGCGUUUGUGACUGCAAGACUAGAGUGCGGCAGAGGGGGGUAGAAUUCCACGUGUAGCAGUGAAAUGCGUAGAUAUGUGGAGGAAUACCGAUGGCGAAGGCAGCCCCCUGGGUCGACACUGACGCUCAUGCACGAAAGCGUGGGGAGUAAACAGGAUUAGAUACCCUGGUAGUCCACGCCCUAAACGAUGUCAACUAGGUGUUGGGGAAGGAGACUUCUUUAGUACCGCAGCUAAUGCGCUAAGUUGACCGCCUGGGGAGUACGGUCGCAAGAUUAAAACUCAAAGGAAUUGACGGGGACCCGCACAAGCGGUGGAUUAUGUGGAUUAAUUCGAUGCAACGCGAAAAACCUUACCUACCCUUGACAUGCCAGGAAGAUUCCAGAGAUGGGAUUGUGCCCGAAAGGGAACCUGGACACAGUGCUGCAUGGCUGUCGUCAGCUCGUGUCGUGAGAUGUUGGGUUAAGUCCCGCAACGAGCGCAACCCUUGUCAUUAAUUGCCAUCAUUUAGUUGAGCACUUUAAUGAGACUGCCGGUGAUAAACCGGAGGAAGGUGGGGAUGACGUCAAGUCCUCAUGGCCCUUAUGGGUAGGGCUUCACACGUAAUACAAUGGUCGGUACAGAGGGUUGCCAACCCGUAAGGGGGAGCCAAUCUCAGAAGGCCGAUCGUAGUCCGGAUUGGAGUCUGUAAUUCGACUCCAUGAAGUCGGAAUCGCUAGUAAUCGCGGAUUAGUAUGUCGCGGUGAAUACGUUCCCGGGUCUUGUACAUACCGCCCGUCACACCAUGGGAGUGGAAUCUGGCAGAAGUAGGUAGCCUAACCGUAAGGAGGGCGCUUACCACGCUGGGUUUCAUGACUGGGGUGAAGUCGAAACAAGGUA
RNAcentral lists this ribosomal RNA (1480 nucleotides) under metagenome. RNAcentral describes it as "bacterial SSU rRNA". It matches the Rfam family "Bacterial small subunit ribosomal RNA". The record is from RNAcentral.